This 569-nucleotide ribosomal RNA is filed under the name uncultured bacterium. RNAcentral describes it as "partial 16S ribosomal RNA". It matches the Rfam family "Bacterial small subunit ribosomal RNA", at positions 355 to 1375 of the family's 1533-position model. The record is from RNAcentral.
UGGGGAAUAUUGCACAAUGGGCGGGAGCCUGAUGCAGCAACGCCGCGUGCGGGAUGACGGCCUUCGGGUUGUAAACCGCUUUCGCCUGUGACGAAGCGUGAGUGACGGUAAUGGGUAAAGAAGCACCGGCUAACUACGUGCCAGCAGCCGCGGUGAUACGUAGGGUGCGAGCGUUGUCCGGAUUUAUUGGGCGUAAAGGGCUCGUAGGUGGUUGAUCGCGUCGGAAGUGUAAUCUUGGGGCUUAACCCUGAGCGUGCUUUCGAUACGGGUUGACUUGAGGAAGGUAGGGGAGAAUGGAAUUCCUGGUGGAGCGGUGGAAUGCGCAGAUAUCAGGAGGAACACCAGUGGCGAAGGCGGUUCUCUGGGCCUUUCCUGACGCUGAGGAGCGAAAGCGUGGGGAGCGAACAGGCUUAGAUACCCUGGUAGUCCACGCUGCAAACGGUGGGUACUAGGUGUGGGGGUCCAUUCCACGGGUUCCGUGCCGUAGCUAACGCUUUAAGUACCCCGCCUGGGGAGUACGGCCGCAAGGCUAAAACUCAAAGGAAUUGACGGGGUCAUAGCUGUUUCCU